Molecule: transfer RNA, 72 nt
Filed under: Camelus bactrianus (Bactrian camel)
Lineage: Eukaryota; Metazoa; Chordata; Mammalia; Artiodactyla; Camelidae
Also listed under: 2 other names
Rfam family: tRNA
About the family: Transfer RNA (tRNA) molecules are approximately 80 nucleotides in length. Their secondary structure includes four short double-helical elements and three loops (D, anti-codon, and T loops).
Source: Rfam by way of RNAcentral
GGGAGUAUAGCUUAUUGGUAAAGGUCAUGCCUAGCAUGCAUGGGGUCUUGGGUUUAAUCCCCAGUACUUUCA